RNAcentral lists this long non-coding RNA (509 nucleotides) under Daucus carota (carrot). Its description in RNAcentral is "long non-coding RNA (DCAR_LNC001446)". The record is from RNAcentral. Lineage: Eukaryota; Viridiplantae; Streptophyta; Magnoliopsida; Apiales; Apiaceae.
UUUGAAAAGCUUAAAAUGCUAAGGGAAAAAGCUAAUUUAAUGAAUCCAAAUACUGAAAAUGAAGAAAAAACUUAUCCACCAGCAGAGGAGGACGAAAAAACUGAUCUAUUGAAUCCAAAUACUGAAAAUGUAGAAAAGACAUCUCCACUGGCAGAGGAGGAAGAAAAGGCUGGUUUGUUGAAUCCAGAUACAGAGAAGGAGGAAAAGACUUCUCCACCGGUAGAGAAGAAAGAAAAAGCUAGUUUGUCGAAUCCAAAUGCAGAGAAUGAGGAAAAGAAUCCAAAUACUGAAAAUGAUGAAAAGACAUCUCCACUGGCAGAGGAGGAAGGAAAAGCUGGUUUGCCGAAUCCAGACGCAAAGGAUGAGGAAAAGACUUCUCCACCUGUAGAGGAGAAAGAAAAAUCUAAUUUGUCGAACCCAAAUAUAGAGAAUGAGGAAAAGACUUCUCCCCAGGGAGAGGAGGAAGAGAAAGCUCUUACAUCAGACUUUAUUAUUGAGGUUAGUGUCUC